AUACAGGGUGGAACUUCCUUCCAUCCAGAGGCUCUCCCAGCUCAGGCUCAUCCUGGAGCCAGCUCUGCAGAGGGAACAUGGGGGGAGGCGACUCACACCAUGACCUGUGUGGAGGUGGCCAUGGUCGGGUGAACCAAUGAACCAAGACUCCUGAGUGUGUUAAGUCCAAAGGGCAGGACUCCGUGAAGGAAAGAGGGAAGAGCUGCAGCGGGGAGGCUGAACAGGAUUUUAACAACGGCUUGAAGAAACAAACUUACCAUGAAAAUGCAAGGCAGUCCAGCCUUGUGCAGACAAAGGAGAAAUGAGCCUCACUCGGGCAAACAGUGCUGGCGACCUCCUCUCCCUCCCUCCACCAAGGAAAACAAAAGAAGAGCAAGGCCCAGAGUGGACAGAGGCUUCUUCCCUGGGUCAGAGAAACACGAGGUCUCGGGGCCCAAAUCCCAGCGCUGCCUGGAGGAAAGGACCCAGCACCUCCCAGCAAAGGCCUCUGUCCACAGCUCCCUUUGUCUGGGGCAGGGAAAUCUGUCUGCACCUUGCCUUGGCUUCUUUCCCUGGGCCCUGGGGGACAACUGCCUAUCCGCUUUCCCCCUCAGGAACAGGGACAGAUUAGCAAGGUGACCAGUGUGUCCCAGUUGGCCCAGAUUGUGCCGGUUUUAAAACGGAGAGUCCUGGAAACCCCUUCACCUGGGCAAACCAGGAUGGUGGAGCACAGGGCAGGACGAGCAGCAGGUCAGCCCUGGGGCCCACUGCUGCCGGAGGCUUCCUGGUCACUGUCUGUUCCCAAGCGCCUGAACUUAACCCUAACCCUACCCCUAACCCAAAUUCCACUCACCACUGGCAGAACUGUCCUCUGUCCUGGACUACCUCCGCCCUGGCCAGGGUGCUCAAGGCCCUGUUGGUGGUCGAGGGGUUCCUAUGGAUCCCGGACCCUGGCCUGGGCCUAAUCGGAGCCCGCCUGGGCCUCUGACCACCAUCUCUCUCUGCUCUGCUGUCAAGGACCACCCCCUGCACCCCCCCACCCGCCUUCUGCCAGGUACCUCAAGAGAAACAUGGAUGGCCCCCCUGGGCUCCCUACCCCGGCCACAGGGCUGUGGAGGCCACUCCCUCUGAACGCCACACCCCACACUGCACAUGCCCUGCCCACUCCCCCAACAGCAGAGUCCCUGCAGGACAAUGGCCAAGCCUCUCUCACUGGGCGAGCUGCUCCCUCUCCACGGGGGCCCCAGCUACCCAGGUACAGAAUUUCUAACAGUCAGAGCAAGUGUUUAGGGAACCAUCAAAGCAGGACACCAAAAACAAUUGUUUUAAGAAUUUGGCUUUUUUUUUUAAGUGUCUAAGUUGACCUCAGGAAAAUCUGCAAUGUUUUAGACUUUCUUAUACUGAUUUUAUGAUUUAAUAUUGUUUUAAUGCUUAAAGAUUUUAUGUCAAGAAGCAUCAUAACUUGGCUGGGCGCAGUGGCUCAUGCCUGUAAUCCCAGCAUUUUGGGAGGCUGAGGCGGGCUGAUCACGAGGUCAGGAGAUCAAAACCAUCCUGGCUAACACGGUGAAACACUGUCUCUCCUAAAAAUACAAAAAAAAAUUAGCCAGGUGUGAUGGCAGGUGCCUGUAGUCCCAGCUACUCGGGAGGCUGAGGCAGGAUAAUGGCGUGAACCCGGGAGGCAGAGUUUGCAGUAAGCCGAGACUGCACCACUGCACUCCAGCCUGGGCAACAGAGCAAGAAUGCGUCUC
Long non-coding RNA from Pan troglodytes (chimpanzee), 1727 nucleotides. RefSeq lists it as uncharacterized. The record is from RefSeq and is a predicted model, not a curated record. The transcript is spliced from 3 exons. NCBI's taxonomy places the organism in Eukaryota, Metazoa, Chordata, Mammalia, Primates, Hominidae.